Asterophora parasitica is the source of this 91-nucleotide non-coding RNA. The record is from the annotation of a GenBank genome assembly. Lineage: Eukaryota; Fungi; Basidiomycota; Agaricomycetes; Agaricales; Lyophyllaceae.
UCUUUGCUAGUAUAUCGGUUAGUACACGCGCCUGUCAUGUUCAUGGCCUUCUGGUACGCGCGAAAGCUGGGUUCGACUCCCAGGCAGAGAG